CUUCAUCAUAAUCAUGUUCAUUUAUUGCAAUUUCUCAUUUGUUGUAUGAAUAUGGGUUGAAUUGAAUGAAUGAAUAAUUAUUGCUAAAUUCGUGCUCUUGUUGUGAUGCUAUUUUCUUGUGCAUGAAUUGAUGAUAAUUGUAUGAUUGUUGGUGAAAUUACAUGUUCAAAUAUGUAAAAAUAAUAAGUUAUGAAAAUUGUGUUCAAUUGGUGAAUUUGGCUAAGUUGUUGUUAAUUGAGAUAUGAUUCAUGUUUUAAUUGAUGUUAUUGUUGUUAUUUGAUGUUGUUGUUGAUGAAUCACUGCUUGGGUAUGCAUAUUCAUGGAUUGAUGAUGAAAAUUUUGAAUUGUUGUUGGUGUUUUGGUGUGAAUAGAUAAUUUGGUGAAUUGGCUAAAAAUGAGUUUGAUUUUCAUGUUCAAUGUGUUUUUGAGUAUCCUUGUGAGUUAUAUGACCUAUAAACAAUCUUUGGAAACAUGUUUGGGCAUUGGGAGAUCAAAAUUGGGAGUUUUGGGUGAAAAAUGGGUGAAACCCGUAACUUUUGUUCUGCAGAAUUUUGAAUGGUCGCUUAAGCGACUCUGCAAGCGACGCUAGUUGCUAUCUGAUGAAUGCACGCUUAAGCGUGCAGUCACAGUAGCUACUGGAACUUGGACGCUUAAGCGUGCAGAACUUUUUCCAGCACUUUUAAAACUUUGUUCCGAGAUUCUGAGGGCCAAUUCGAACUUCUUAAAACAGUUCUUUUAACUUAUAUAAUCACUGUUUGUACAAUUAAUCCUACUGGAACACUUCCUUGAACAAGAAUUGGACUUGGUUUAUGAAAUUGAAUUCCAACUUUGAAAAUUGUCAAGAACGUUGAUUUUUCCGAAAUUUGAAAUUCAAGGAAAUGGAAUGGGAUUAAAGUAGUGUAGUGAUUAUAUGAUAAAUGAAAAUGAUUGAGAUUGGUUUCCUUGAGUUUUAUUUGAUUUUGGUUUUGAAAAUGGAAGAUUCUUGUAAAAUGUUAAAGAGAGACGAACAUUGAUGAAAAUAUCCUUUUAAGCCAAUUACCUUAUAAAUCUUUCAUAAUUAGUUUUGUAUGACUAUAUGGAAGUAUUUGAUUGUUAGUUGAGUGUUGAAUGUGAUGUUUAUCUUAAAGUGAUGUCUUUUCCUCUUACUUAGAAUAUGAGAAUUGUAUGGAAUGAGAUUAAUGUUGUUUAAUGAUUACUAAAUUUUCGAAAAUGGAUGAGAUUGGUUCCUUUGAACUUUACUUGGUUUUACUUUGAAAAAAGGAGAUGUAUGGAUGAAUUAUGAUAUAUUGGAUAUCAUAUUAACAUGAGGUGUUGUAUGUUCUCUUACUUGGUAUAUGAGAAAUAUUGUAAUGAUGAGAUGAUAUUGGUGAGUCCAUAUACAUUGUUAUUAUGAUAUGGUAUUGAUUAUGUAUGUGGUGAUGAAUUAUUGGUGUGAUUACCUAAAUGCAAAUAAAUAGUGGCAUAAAUGCAAAUAAAUAUUGGUAAUGAAUUAUUGGUGUGAUUGCAUAAAUGCAAGUAAUAUUGGUGAGAAUAUGGUAAAUUGUUUGUAUGAACAUAUGUAUUGUUGUUGAGAAAUAUGUUUAUGCAUACAUGACUGAUGGUGACGAAUUUUAUAUCCAAUGUGGUGAGUUGUUUGUGUGAACAUAUGUAUUGUUGUUGAGUCAUAUGUUCAUGCAUACAUGACUGAUGGAGACAUAUAUUUUUAUAUAUCCAAAUGGUGAGAUUAUGAUGUUCUGUCGGCAUCAUGGGCGACAGCCUAAAUAUUGGUGAGACUGAGACCGGUACCGCAUGCAUCUAGAAGAGUCUAGAACAUUGCAUGCAUUUGAUUGGUUGAUGAAGUAUGUCAUAAUUGAAUAUGUGACUUGAUGAAAUGUGAUUGGUGAUUGUUCAUGACUUAUGAUUGGUGAUUGUUCAUGAAAUGUGAUUAAUGAAUGUUCAUGGAAUAUGAUUGAUAUUUGUUCACGAUAUAUGUGAAUUGAUAUUUGUUCAUGACACAUGUGUUGAUGAUUAUUAAUGUGAGAUAUUGGGGUUUGAUGUAAGUAUUGAUAUGAGAAUAUUAUUAUUGAUCAAGUGCAUGAUGU
This 2081-nucleotide long non-coding RNA is filed under the name Medicago truncatula (barrel medic). RNAcentral's name for it is "lncRNA gene8142". Lineage: Eukaryota; Viridiplantae; Streptophyta; Magnoliopsida; Fabales; Fabaceae. The record is from RNAcentral.